This 863-nucleotide long non-coding RNA is filed under the name Homo sapiens (human). Its description in RNAcentral is "HSALNT0275964". The record is from RNAcentral. Lineage: Eukaryota; Metazoa; Chordata; Mammalia; Primates; Hominidae.
UAUGUUGGCCAGGCUGGUCUUGAACUCCUGACCUCAAGUGAUCCACCCACCUUGGCCUCCCAAAGUGUUGAAUAUUUCUUUUACAUUAGCCUCUAUUUCCUCUGGAGGCAUUUACCCAAGUGCAACAGGAGGUAUUGGUGCCACACACAGCCCUCCCGUUCUGCUAGUAAAUAGUCUAAGGCCAAUCGCUUUUCUGACACUACAUUGGCUAGUGAAUUUAGAGAAAUACAUAUAUUUUAGAGAGCCUCUCCAGUUUUAGCUGCCAGAGCCUUGGGUAUUCAGAUUAAAUUUCUUAGGGUGACUUCAUAACAGGCAACCCCCCCGCAAGAAAGGGCAGCCAACCCCACAGCAAGUCCGGCAGCUUCCAUGGUUUGUCCAAUAGCCCCCGUCCUUUUUUUUUUUUUUUUUUGGUCUCUUAUGAUGGCUGGUUGCACUAUGGGCUGUUACCCUGAUAGGCCCCAGAAGCCCACAGUACACUGUCCUAGGCAUAUUACAUUGCCGAAACAAGGGUGAGCCACUGCAAAUACUCUUUUGUAGCAUGUUUGCCUCUUUUCUCCUUUUCCUGAGCAAUUUAAAUAAACUUGGCCUAUUCUCUUAGUGACAUUGCCCUUAGCAGGUGAGGUCCACACAACCCUGUGAUGUUAAUGACUCCUCUCAAAGGAUUAGCAACAGGUCACCCCAUCCAAGUGUGGGGAAGCCUAUGGCACAUCCAACAUUUGAACAGAUUGUUCCCACCAGCUGUGAUACAGGAGACCUUGAUUAUUAUAUUGGCCUCCCAGAGAUCACUGGCCAAGGCAACUAAAAGGGCCAAAAAGCAGGCUGGGUGCGAUGGCUCACGCCUGUAAUCCUAGCACUUUGGGAGG